Molecule: non-coding RNA, 769 nt
Filed under: Microvelia americana
Lineage: Eukaryota; Metazoa; Arthropoda; Insecta; Hemiptera; Veliidae
Source: RNAcentral
AUUUCUUAAUUUUGUUUUAAUUUAAGUUUGAUUCUUGCUUUAUUAUUUGAAUUUUGAAUCAUUUUAUAUGUAAGUUUUUCUUUUUUUCUAAAUGAUUUUUUAUCAGUAUUUAAUUUUAGUUUUUGUUUUUUGACAAAACUAGGGUUUUAAUAUUUAACUAACAAAAAUUGUGCCAGCAGUUGCGGUUAUACAAUUAGUUAAAUUAAAUAUUUUUGGUUUUAUAUUAUUUCUUUAUUUUAUAAUUUAAUUUAAUAUUUUAAGGUGAAAUUUUGAUAUUAUAUAAUUUUAUUGGUUGAUUAUUAGAUAUAUGAAAACUAUUAAUAAACUAGGAUUAGAUACCCUAUUAUAAUAGUUGUAAAUUUGCUUUAAUAUUAAUAGUUAUGAUCUUUAAAUUAAAAGAAUUUGGCGGUUAUUUAAUCUUUCUAGAGGAACCUGUCAUGUAAUUGAUAAUCCACGAUUGAUUUUACUUUUAUUUAACUUACAUAUCGCUGUCAUUGAAUGUUUUAUAAGAAUUUAAUUUUCUCCAAUUUUUAUGAAUAUAAUGUUAGGUCAAGAUGUAGUAAUAUAAAAGAAUGGAUGGGUUACAAUUUUUAUACAAAUGGAUUAGUAAUUGUAAUUUUACUAUAAAAUUGGAUUUAGGUGUAAUUUUUAAUAAAUAUUAAUUUUGAUUUUAGUUCUAAAUAAUGUACACAUCGCCCGUCGCUCUCAUUAUUAAGUUGGGAUAAGUCGUAACAAAGUAGUCCUACCGGAAGGUGGGUCUGGAUAUUUC